GUGCACGCUGGCGGCAGGCCUAACCCAUGCAAGUCGAGCGGCAGCGCGGGGGCAACCCUGGCGGCGAGCGGCGGACGGGUGAGGAAUUCGUCGGAAUCUGCCUUUUUGUGGGGGAUAACGUAGGGAAACUUACGCUAAUACCGCAUACGUCCUACGGGAGAAAGUGGGGGACCGCAAGGCCUCACGCAGAAAGAUGAGCCGACGACCGAUUAGCUAGUUGGUGGGGUAAAGGCCCACCAAGGCGACGAUCGGUAGCUGGUCUGAGAGGAUGAUCAGCCACACUGGGACUGAGACACGGCCCAGACUCCUACGGGAGGCAGCAGUGGGGAAUAUUGGACAAUGGGCGCAAGCCUGAUCCAGCCAUGCCGCGUGUGUGAAGAAGGCCUUCGGGUUGUAAAGCACUUUUGUCCGGAAAGAAAUCCCUGGAGCUAAUACCUUCGGGGGAUGACGGUACCGGAAGAAUAAGCACCGGCUAACUUCGUG
This 483-nucleotide ribosomal RNA is filed under the name uncultured bacterium. RNAcentral describes it as "partial 16S ribosomal RNA". It matches the Rfam family "Bacterial small subunit ribosomal RNA", at positions 29 to 507 of the family's 1533-position model. The record is from RNAcentral.